UACGGGGGGAGCAAGCGUUGUUCGGAUUUACUGGGCGUAAAGGGCGCGUAGGCGGCCAGCACAAGUCAGUUGUGAAAUCUCCGGGCUUAACUCGGAAAGGUCAACUGAUACUGUGCGGCUAGAGUGCAGAAGGGGCAACUGGAAUUCUCGGUGUAGCGGUGAAAUGCGUAGAUAUCGAGAGGAACACCUGUGGCGAAGGCGGGUUGCUGGGCCGACACUGACGCUGAUGCGCGAAAGCCAGGGGAGCGAACGGG
This 254-nucleotide ribosomal RNA is filed under the name uncultured bacterium. Its description in RNAcentral is "partial 16S ribosomal RNA". It matches the Rfam family "Bacterial small subunit ribosomal RNA", at positions 524 to 776 of the family's 1533-position model. The record is from RNAcentral.